GUACGGUGGUUCAGUGGUAGAGUGCUGGCCUGCCACGCGGGCGGCCCGGGUUCGAUUCCCGGCCGACG
This 68-nucleotide transfer RNA is filed under the name Paragonimus westermani. RNAcentral describes it as "tRNA-Gly". It matches the Rfam family "tRNA", at positions 5 to 66 of the family's 71-position model. From Rfam's summary of the family: Transfer RNA (tRNA) molecules are approximately 80 nucleotides in length. Their secondary structure includes four short double-helical elements and three loops (D, anti-codon, and T loops). Lineage: Eukaryota; Metazoa; Platyhelminthes; Trematoda; Plagiorchiida; Troglotrematidae. The record is from RNAcentral.